Molecule: ribosomal RNA, 393 nt
Filed under: uncultured crenarchaeote
Lineage: Archaea; Thermoproteati; Thermoproteota
Description: bacterial SSU rRNA
Rfam family: Archaeal small subunit ribosomal RNA
Source: RNAcentral
GCGAGUCAUUGUAGUAAUACAAGGCAGACGGCUCAGUAACGCGUACUCUCCAAACCUAUGGACGGGAAUAACCUCGGGAAACUGAGCAUUAUGCCGAUAGAACAUUAUGCCUGGAAUGGUUUAUGUUCCAAAUGAUUUAUCGCCGUAGGAUGGGACUGCCCCCUAUCAGUUUGUUGGUGAGGUAAUGGCCCACCAAGACUAUUACAGGUACGGGCUCUGAGAGGAGUAGCCCGGAGAUGGGUACUGAGACACGGACCCAGGCCCUAUGGGGCGCAGCAGGCGAGAAAACUUUGCAAUGUGCGAAAGCACGACAAGGUUAAUCCGAGUGGUUUCUGCUAAAGGAACCUUUUGUCGGUCCUAGGAACACCGAUGAAUAAGGGGUGGGCUAGUUCU